UAUGCUCAUAUCACAUUGAAACAUCAGUUCCCGUAUGAUCACUGAAGUUAAGCAAUAUCAAGCCUGGUCAGUACCUAGAUGGGUAAUUGCUUGGGAAUACCAUGUGAUGUAAG
This is a non-coding RNA of Acanthosepion pharaonis, 113 nucleotides long. The record is from the annotation of a GenBank genome assembly. Lineage: Eukaryota; Metazoa; Mollusca; Cephalopoda; Sepiida; Sepiidae.